GAUGAAGAACGUAGCGAAAUGCGAUAAGUAAUGUGAAUUGCAGAAUUCAGUGAAUCAUCGAAUCUUUGAACGCACAUUGCGCCCGCCAGAAUUCUGGCGGGCAUGCCUGUUCGAGCGUCAUUUCAACCCUCGGUCUCCCUCCGGGAGAGACCGGCGUUGGGGACAGGCACUUACCCCGCCGGCCCCGAAAUGAAGUGGCGGCCCGUCCGCGGCGACCUCUGCGUAGUAACUCCACUCGCACCGGGACCCGGGCGCGGCCACGCCGUAAAACCCCCAACUUCCGAAUGUUGACCUCGAAUCAGGUAGGAAUACCCGCUGAACUUAAGCAUAUCAAUAAGCGGAGGA
RNAcentral lists this unclassified non-coding RNA (345 nucleotides) under soil metagenome. RNAcentral describes it as "partial contains 5.8S ribosomal RNA, internal transcribed spacer 2, and large subunit ribosomal RNA". The stretch from base 1 to 120 matches the Rfam family "5.8S ribosomal RNA", at positions 35 to 154 of the family's 154-position model. The record is from RNAcentral.